This 491-nucleotide ribosomal RNA is filed under the name uncultured bacterium. Its description in RNAcentral is "partial 16S ribosomal RNA". It matches the Rfam family "Bacterial small subunit ribosomal RNA", at positions 29 to 507 of the family's 1533-position model. The record is from RNAcentral.
GUGAACGCUGGCGGUAGGCCUAACACAUGCAAGUCGCACGACAGCACAGUAAGAGCUUGUUCUUACGGGUGGCGAGUGGCGGACGGGUGAGGAAUACAUCGGAAUCUACUUUUUCGUGGGGGAUAACGUAGGGAAACUUACGCUAAUACCGCAUACGACCUACGGGUGAAAGCAGGGGAUCUUCGGACCUUGCGCGAUUGAAUGAGCCGAUGUCGGAUUAGCUAGUUGGCGGGGUAAAGGCCCACCAAGGCGACGAUCCGUAGCUGGUCUGAGAGGAUGAUCAGCCACACUGGAACUGAGACGCGGUCCAGACUCCUACGGGAGGCAGCAGUGGGGAAUAUUGGACAAUGGGCGCAAGCCUGAUCCAGCCAUACCGCGUGGGUGAAGAAGGCCUUCGGGUUGUAAAGCCCUUUUGUUGGGAAAGAAAAGCAGCAGGUUAAUACCCCGCUGUUCUGACGGUACCCAAAGAAUAAGCACCGGCUAACUUCGUG